Molecule: long non-coding RNA, 1543 nt
Filed under: Amborella trichopoda
Lineage: Eukaryota; Viridiplantae; Streptophyta; Magnoliopsida; Amborellales; Amborellaceae
Description: long non-coding RNA (ATRI_LNC001267)
Source: RNAcentral
CGUUAGUUACAAUUGUUUUUAGAUAGACCACCUAUUUGCAUCCAUCUUUAAGAUGGAUCUUUUAUACUUCUAGACCGAAUAUUGUAAAAACGUGAUCCAACCCACGCGAAACAAUUUUCUUUAUAGUCUUGGGAGAAGAAAUCUUGGUAAACUAUGGGUGCAUUUUGUGAAAAUCGUGAAAGUUUUAUGAUGAUAAAGAAUCAAUAGUGUAAUAAGCUUUGUUGACCACGUCAUUGGGCUCUGGAUACCUGUUGUGGGAUGGGCUUAGCUCAUGAGCCUUCUUCCGCUCUGGAUCCCAGUGUGGGGUUGGGCUUUGCUAAUGAGCCAAUAGGCCUAGCUUGGGCCAAAAGCUUAUCAGUUACUAAUUUUUCCAAUUGAAAACAUAUAAAAUAGAAAAGUAUAUAAAGAGAUUAUUUACUUUUAAUACGAGUCACAAUGACGUAUGUUUGUCAGAUAUAAAAUGAGGUGGAAGUGAAUGUGUCAUUGACUAUAAUCAAAGUUCAAAAAAAGAAGAAGAAGAAAAUUUUGACUUUGUAACACUCAAAGACACCUAGUUAGACAUCUAAUGACUUGUAGCAAUCGCUACCUUCGUAUAAUAAAGAUAAACUGUCACAUAGUAUACCAUCUUUAUAUAUAUAUAUAUAUAUAUAUAUAUAUAUAUGAUUGCAACCAUGUAGUUAUUUUUGAAGUUCAACCUCAAGAUCGUCAAUGUCAAUGACUAGAUCCAAAGUUCAAAAAAUAAUUUAUUGAUCUUUGUGACAGACCUCAAGCUAUCUAAUUUGACAUCUAAUGGCAAGUAACAAUUAUGACCAUGCACCAAAGAUAAAUGGCCUCAUAGGAGAUAAUCGCAUUCGAUAAAGGUAACUUAUUAGUCUUUAAUAUGAAAAGAAUUACUCAUUUAUUUAAAGAACUUUCCCCAUCCCUUGAAAGGAAUAGUUAUUUUUAGGGUGAAAUGAUAAGUCUAGAUAAUUUGUUACAAUAUAUAUUAUUCAUAGAGUUUGAAAUCCUAAUUCUUUUGGGAUUGUAUAUAGUGAGACCAUUUAUCUUUGAUACAAAGUAAUCAUAAUUCUUACAACCAUUUGAUGUGAAAUUUGAUAGUUUGGAUGUGACACAAAGUUCGAAAACAUUUCUUUUGAAGUUUGAGCUUGGUCAAUAGAAUAAUUGUAACCGCCCAAUGUCACAUCUAAUGGUCAAGACUAAUGUGACCACCUUGUAUCAAAGGCAAAUGGUCUCAUUCUAUACUUUUUCAAUGUUUUUUCACAACCAUAAUGUUCAAGCACAAUACAUUACGGCAUUUAGAGUCUAUCAAACCAUUUUCCUUCAGGGGCCGUUUGGAAACCUGGAAAUAUAUUGUCUAUGAAAUAUAUUACUGCCAUAAUAGAUUACGGCGUAAUACAUUACCUGCAAAUGGAUUGUCACUGUUUGGAUAACCUUUAGAUGUAACUUGGGAAAUACAUCGCUACUGUUUGGCUAUGUCCAGAAGAAAUAUGGGAAAUGCAUUACCAACAUUUUUUUUGUUCUUUUUUGGCUUUAUACCAAAAAC